ACGAACGCUGGCGGCGUGCCUCAUCCCUGCAAGUAGAACGCUGAAGAGAGGAGCUUGCUCUUCUUGGAUGAGUUGCGAACGGGUGAGUAACGCGUAGGUAACCUGCCUUGUAGCGGGGGAUAACUAUUGGAAACGAUAGCUAAUACCGCAUAACAAUGGAUGACACAUGUCAUUUAUUUGAAAGGGGCAAUUGCUCCACUACAAGAUGGACCUGCGUUGUAUUAGCUAGUAGGUGAGGUAAUGGCUCACCUAGGCGACGAUACAUAGCCGACCUGAGAGGGUGAUCGGCCACACUGGGACUGAGACACGGCCCAGACUCCUACGGGAGGCAGCAGUAGGGAAUCUUCGGCAAUGGGGGCAACCCUGACCGAGCAACGCCGCGUGAGUGAAGAAGGUUUUCGGAUCGUAAAGCUCGGUUGUAAGUCAAGAACGGGUGUGAGAGUGGAAAGUUCACACUGUGACGGUAGCUUACCAGAAAGGGACGGCUAACUACGUG
This 496-nucleotide ribosomal RNA is filed under the name uncultured bacterium. RNAcentral describes it as "partial 16S ribosomal RNA". It matches the Rfam family "Bacterial small subunit ribosomal RNA", at positions 29 to 507 of the family's 1533-position model. The record is from RNAcentral.